GCAUUAAUGGGGUAGUGGUAACCUGGGUCGUUGCCAUUCCUGUAUAAUCAAGUUUGUCGACCCGCCGGGGGUUCGAUUCCCUCUUAAUGCA
This 91-nucleotide transfer RNA is filed under the name Laccaria bicolor S238N-H82. It matches the Rfam family "tRNA". From Rfam's summary of the family: Transfer RNA (tRNA) molecules are approximately 80 nucleotides in length. Their secondary structure includes four short double-helical elements and three loops (D, anti-codon, and T loops). Lineage: Eukaryota; Fungi; Basidiomycota; Agaricomycetes; Agaricales; Hydnangiaceae. The record is from Rfam by way of RNAcentral.